UACGGGGGGGGCAAGCGUUGUUCGGAAUUACUGGGCGUAAAGGGCUCGUAGGUGGCCAACUAAGUCAGACGUGAAAUCCCUCGGCUUAACCGGGGAACUGCGUCUGAUACUGGAUGGCUUGAGUUCGGGAGAGGGAUGCGGAAUUCCAGGUGUAGCGGUGAAAUGCGCAGAUAUCAGGAGGAACACCGAUGGCGAAGGCAGGUCUCUGGGCCGAUACUGACGCUGAGGAGCGAAAGCGUGGGGAGCGAACAGG
Molecule: ribosomal RNA, 253 nt
Filed under: uncultured bacterium
Lineage: Bacteria
Description: partial 16S ribosomal RNA
Rfam family: Bacterial small subunit ribosomal RNA
Source: RNAcentral